CCGUUAAUUGUCGAUAACGAACGAAGACCUUAACCUGCUAAAUAAGCCAGGCAAGCUUUGGCUGGUCGCCGGCUUCUUAGAGGGACUAUCGGCUCAAGCCGAUGGAAGUUUGAGGCAAUAACAGGUCUGUGAUGCCCUUAGAUGUUCUGGGCCGCACGCGCGCUACACUGACAGAGCCAACGAGUUUCUUCCUUGUCCGAAAGGUCUGGGUAAUCUUGUUAAACUCUGUCGUGCUGGGGAUAGGGCAUUGCAAUC
This 255-nucleotide ribosomal RNA is filed under the name uncultured fungus. RNAcentral's name for it is "partial small subunit ribosomal RNA". It matches the Rfam family "Eukaryotic small subunit ribosomal RNA", at positions 1313 to 1591 of the family's 1831-position model. Lineage: Eukaryota; Fungi. The record is from RNAcentral.